Zea mays is the source of this 2369-nucleotide RNA transcript. It is a transcript of the gene named ubiquitin-conjugating enzyme E2 - ribosome protein pseudogene, with no coding region annotated. The transcript is spliced from 10 exons. The record is from RefSeq and is marked validated. Lineage: Eukaryota; Viridiplantae; Streptophyta; Magnoliopsida; Poales; Poaceae.
CAGCCGCCGGCCAGCAGCAGCCAUGCCGCCCAAGUUGGACCCCUCGCAGGUGGUCGAGGUAUUCGUCCGCGUGACGGGCGGCUAGGUCGGCGCGGCGUCGUCGCUGGCGCCCAAGAUCGGCCCGCUCGGCCUCUCCCCGAAGAAGAUCGGCGAGGACAUCGCCAAGGAGACCGCCAGGGACUGGAAGGGCCUGCGCGUCACCGUGAAGCUCACGGUGCAGAACCGGCAGGCCAAGGUCUCCGUCGUCCCCUCCGCCGCCGCCCUCGUCAUCAAGGCGCUCAAGGAGCCCGAGCGGGACCGGAAGAAGGUCAAGAACAUCCGGCACAGCGGCAACGUCGCCCUCGACGACGUCGUCGAGAUCGCCAGGACCAUGCGCCCCAGAUCCAUGGCCAAGGAGAUGGCCGGCACCGUCAAGGAGAUCCUCGGCACCUGCGUCAGCGUCGGGUGCACCGUCGACGGCAAGGACCCCAAGGACCUGCAGCAGGAGAUCGAUGAUGGUGAGGUCGAGAUCCCCUCCGCUUAAAGGCAAUCCUCGCGGCGGCGCGGACUACGACGGUGGCUGACUCGUAGCGAGACCUUCUCCCUCCUCCCCCGCCUGACGCCCGGCGACCACUACUCACUCGCUGCUCUGGAAGUCUGGCAGGGGUUUCGCCCGGUUCGACAACAUCAGGGACGACAGCGGCGCCAUGCCGCUACACCUCGCCGCCAUGCAAGGCCGCCCCGCCUACAUGCAGGUGCUACUAGAGAACGACGCCAUUGUCUCCGUUCUCACAGGCUCAUACAGGUUUAAAAUCUCUCCUGCGACAGCAACUGGGCACUAAACUCAAGCAAUCCCUCCAGAGCCUCAGCUCUCUGCUGGUUAGUGCCUUACUGGUGUCUACCACUGGCUAGGGACCGGUAAUAUCUAUGCUGUCUGACAAGUCAUCUGGCCACUCCCUUAAGGACCAAUUAACUCGCAUGGCUGAGAAUGACUAUCUACUUAGCGGUGGCCUUGAAGGUAUUGGUUCUACUGGAAAGAAGUGUGAAGUCGCUCGCCGAAGAAAUGGUUUAGAUACCAACAAGCCAAAAAAAGGGGCAACCUGAUACAACAGGUGGUGGGCCAACAGGAAGAGAGCUGAAUAUCGGACAAGCAUGUUUCCAUUCAGAACCGAGCAACGCUUCAAACCAGUUCAUCCUAGCCCAAUUGAUGCAGGUGAAUUCAUUCUUAAGCAGGACAACAACUAUUACUAUACAUCCCUUGUUUAGUCUGCAAAGCUGGUACAAUGGCAGGUGCAACAUUUUGAGAUAAUUGGAUUGGACAAGCUUCUUGAUAAUAGUUCUGUAGAAUCAAUGAAUGAGGAACAUACAAUUGGUGAUUCAUUAGACGAGGCUGAGCAGGAGGAAUUGAACCAUGAGAUUGCUCUGGAGUCUACUGAAGACUGCACUGGCUCCUUGUGCAAAGCCACUGCUUUUCUAUUUCCCAAGACAGCUUUUGACUUCCUGACAAAUGUGGCUGCUAGUUUGUUUGGUAUUCAUGGUUCUCCAUCUCCAAGCUCAGUUUUGGUAGAUCCUCGAUAUGAAAUUGUGAAGAUGGCAGAAAUGCAGCCAUGUGCAGAAGAAACGCCAAAAGAAGAACAGAUAGUGAAGUUUGUGGCGCAGAUUGACAAGCCAAUUCUCUCUUCAGAGGAUGCCGUCUCAAAAAGAUUCGAUGUAGUCACUGACUGUUUGGAUCAUCAUUUUGUGAAGGAAAAUGGCCAUGAAAGUGUUACAAGAGGUUGGCUGAAGAAGGUGCGACUGGAAUGGAACAUCCUGCAAAAUGACCUACCAGAUGGUAUUCAUGUGAGAGUUUAUGAGGAAAGGAUGGAUCUUCUGAGGGCUUGCAUCGUUGGGGCACCUGGAACACCUUACCAUGACAAUCUUUUUUUCUUCGAUAUUUUCUUUCCUCCUGAUUACCCUCAUGAACCACCUUGACUGGAGCGGCAAGUGACUCGCGGCGGGCGGCGGGGACUCGCGGAUGGCGCCCGCGAAUCGCGGCGUUGGGCGGGCGGGCGGGCGGCGGUUGUUUGCGGCUGCGGGAUCCUCAGCGGUUGUGCGCGCGGGAGCCACGCGAGCUGGCGGCGGCGGCUGCGAGAUCCUCGGCGGUUGUGCGCGCGGGAGCCACGGGAGCGAGGGGAGAGCGGGCGGUUGUGCGCGCGGGAGCCACGCGAGCUGGCGGCGGUUGUUUGCGGCUGCGGGAUCCUCGGCGGUUGUGCGCGCGGGAGCCACGGGAGUGAGGGGAGAGCGGGGGCAGUCUACAUGUGAGUCUUAAUAGUUGUAGAAGACUUUGGAAAGUAGUGGAAUGUCACAUUCUAAAAAAAUAGCCUAUUCUAAUAGUAAGAUUCUAAUUCCUC